AAAGGCCAUGCCACAUAAACUAUGAGGCAAAAGCACUGAUUGAAAAAAUCCUAACAUCAAAGCCUGGUGGUGAACGCAUUAUGCAAGAGUAUGGAAAAACCAAAUCUCUGACAGAUGCCACCAGAAGACAGAUGAUCAACAUACUUGCUGCUGAGAUGACAGAAACACAUGGGACAUCCCCCCCCAAAAGUGUCAGAGUGAUGUAUGCACAGGGGAUAGUAGCUUUGUUUCCCUAUCUAGAAGACCCAUACUCACAACAUGGAUAUGAUCAUUACUACGAUCCGG
Molecule: long non-coding RNA, 285 nt
Organism: Coregonus clupeaformis (lake whitefish)
Lineage: Eukaryota; Metazoa; Chordata; Actinopteri; Salmoniformes; Salmonidae
Exons: 4
Source: RefSeq, a predicted model, not a curated record